GAUGAACGCUGGCGGCGUGCCUAAUACAUGCCAGUCGAGCGAACAGACGAGGAGCUUGCUCCUUUGACGUUAGCGGCGGACGGGUGAGUAACACGUGGGUAACCUACCUAUAAGACUGGGAUAACUUCGGGAAACCGGAGCUAAUACCGGAUAAUAUUUCGAACCGCAUGGUUCGAUAGUGAAAGAUGGCUCUGCUAUCACUUAUAGAUGGACCUGCGCCGUAUUAGCUAGUUGGUAAGGUAACGGCUUACCAAGGCAACGAUACGUAGCCGACCUGAGAGGGUGAUCGGCCACACUGGAACUGAGACACGGUCCAGACUCCUACGGGAGACAGCAGUAGGGAAUCUUCCGCAAUGGGCGAAAGCCUGACGGAGCAACGCCGCGUGAGUGAUGAAGGUCUUCGGAUCGUAAAACUCUGUUAUUAGGGAAGAACAAACGUGUAAGUAACUGUGCACGUCUUGACGGUACCUAAUCAGAAAGCCACGGCUAACUACGUG
RNAcentral lists this ribosomal RNA (497 nucleotides) under uncultured bacterium. RNAcentral describes it as "partial 16S ribosomal RNA". It matches the Rfam family "Bacterial small subunit ribosomal RNA", at positions 28 to 507 of the family's 1533-position model. The record is from RNAcentral.